GAUGAACGCUGGCGGCGUGCCUAAUACAUGCAAGUAGAACGCUGAAGCUUGGUGCUUGCACCGAGCGGAUGAGUUGCGAACGGGUGAGUAACGCGUAGGUAACCUGCCUGGUAGCGGGGGAUAACUAUUGGAAACGAUAGCUAAUACCGCAUAACAGUAGAUAUUGCAUGAUAUCUGCUUGAAAGGUGCAAAUGCAUCACUACCAGAUGGACCUUCGUUGUAUUAGCUAGUUGGUGAGGUAACGGCUCACCAAGGCGACGAUACAUAGCCGACCUGAGAGGGUGGUCAGCCACACUGGGACGGAGACACGGCCCAGACUCCUACGGGAGGCAGCAGUAGGGCAUCGUCGGCAAUGGGGGGAACCCUGACCGAGCAACGCCGCGUGAGUGAAGAAGGUUUUCGGAUCGUAAAGCUCUGUUGUAAGAGAAGAACGAGUGUGAGCGUGGAAAGUUCACACUGUGACGGUAUCUUACCAGAAAGGGACGGCUAACUACGUG
Molecule: ribosomal RNA, 497 nt
Filed under: uncultured bacterium
Lineage: Bacteria
Description: partial 16S ribosomal RNA
Rfam family: Bacterial small subunit ribosomal RNA
Source: RNAcentral